GUGGGGAAUAUUGGACAAUGGGCGAAAGCCUGAUCCAGCCAUGCCGCGUGUGUGAAGAAGGUCUUCGGAUUGUAAAGCACUUUAAGUUGGGAGGAAGGGCAGUAAGUUAAUACCUUGCUGUUUUGACGUUACCGACAGAAUAAGCACCGGCUAACUUCGUGCCAGCAGCCGCGGUAAUACGAAGGGUGCAAGCGUUAAUCGGAAUUACUGGGCGUAAAGCGCGCGUAGGUGGUUUUGUAAGUUGGAGGUGAAAGCCCCGGGCUCAACCUGGGAACUGCCUCCAAAACUGCAUGACUAGAGUACGGUAGAGGGUAGUGGAAUUUCCUGUGUAGCGGUGAAAGGCGUAGAUAUAGGAAGGAACACCAGUGGCGAAGGCGACUACCUGGACUGAUACUGACACUGAGGUGCGAAAGCGUGGGGAGCAAACAGGAUUAGAUACCCGAGUAGUCC
RNAcentral lists this ribosomal RNA (450 nucleotides) under uncultured bacterium. Its description in RNAcentral is "bacterial SSU rRNA". It matches the Rfam family "Bacterial small subunit ribosomal RNA", at positions 354 to 796 of the family's 1533-position model. The record is from RNAcentral.